Molecule: long non-coding RNA, 312 nt
Filed under: Homo sapiens (human)
Lineage: Eukaryota; Metazoa; Chordata; Mammalia; Primates; Hominidae
Description: HSALNT0164696
Source: RNAcentral
CUGGGAUGAUUCACAUUCAUCACUUGUGCUGGAUGAGCAAACAAGACCACAUUCAGAGAAUUCACAUCAGACAGUGUCUCGGUGCCUAGAGAAUUGAGGAGCAUAUCAUGCACUUGGUGCUCUAGCUCCAGGUCAAGAGAAGGCAACAGACUGACUCAAGAGAAAGUCCUCCACCUACAUGAAGUCCUUGACUUGUUGGUUGCUUCCUCAAAGAAUGUUCGCAAUGACUCAGGAGAACUCCAGCUACACCUAAAUGAUUAAGAGCCAAGUUUUUGAAAAUGUCAUGGACAAUGACAGCACAGUGCCCCAAAC